Molecule: unclassified non-coding RNA, 1107 nt
Filed under: Hevea brasiliensis (rubber tree)
Lineage: Eukaryota; Viridiplantae; Streptophyta; Magnoliopsida; Malpighiales; Euphorbiaceae
Source: RNAcentral
AACAGAACAUGCGCACGAAAAAUUUCAUGGCAGGCAUCUUCUUUGAGCCGUUGAAUGAAAUGGAUUUCCACAUAUCCAACGAUUAUAAAAACAUGCACAUUAUAUGUAGAUUCUCUCAAAAUCUCUACACAUUUUUGAAACAUAGUUCAUGGAAUCACAGUCCAUCACAGCUUGACUAAUGUAUCAACAUGAUUUUCAAUGAUAUCAUUGUAGAUGGAGUUUGAUGAUGUGUCAAGUGCUGAUUGGUUCACAAUAGAGACUAGUAUAUUCUUCUCCCAUCUUGGACCCACAGGUCCUUGGUGCUUUAAUGUCCACUAUGCAAAUGAUUGAGGAAGAUCAUGCCAAAAAGAAAGCUAAAAUAUUUGCAAUUAUAACAGAACUAUAAUAAAAUUGCAGUUCUUACCCAUAACAAUCUUGGGAACAUAUUAGAUUAUAAAUAAGCGAAAAAGCUUGAAAGACUUCUGUUUUAGCGAUUGUAAUGAGGAAGGUUUUCUUAUGUCUCCCACAUCAACUUAGUUCUAAUCCCUUAAAAUCCAUAAAACAACAUAGAAUCAAGGUCAGGAAAUAUUUAGGAUCCACAUUUAAUGGAUAAGGUAUCCUUACUCCUUAUCUAAAACCUGUUGCAGAAUUGUUAAGUUCCACACAAGAAGCCAAUUGAUGCAGAACCAAGGGAACAAUGGGAUGAGAAACAAAUUUUCAAACUUUUAUUAAUUCUCAAUCUUAAUCAUCACAAUAGGCUCUCAAUAAAAUACCUUAACUUCCUAAUUCUAUAUUAAAUAUAAUUUCUAAGUUUAGUCUUCUUCCAAUACUGGAUCACCAAUUAUUCUUUAUUUAAAGCUACAUUUCAUUAUUCUUAAUAGAUUGUGUUAUGGUUGUGGUUCAUGUUCAAAGAGAUGCAUUAUAACUUAGAGAUCCAAAUGAAAGGGGAUUUCAUGCCUGGAGGGGUUAGGACAAUUGUAAUUAUGAGGAUUAAUUUUGUAAUUUAGACAUGGUUUUAAAUAACGGCCAUUACGCUAUAUAACGGCCAUUACGCUAUAUAACAGCCAUUAUUUAAAGUUUUUUAGUCUGCCCUUAUCGUUACAUCCGUUAUUUAAAGGCAACAGAAAA